RNAcentral lists this transfer RNA (69 nucleotides) under Rattus norvegicus (Norway rat). It matches the Rfam family "tRNA". From Rfam's summary of the family: Transfer RNA (tRNA) molecules are approximately 80 nucleotides in length. Their secondary structure includes four short double-helical elements and three loops (D, anti-codon, and T loops). Lineage: Eukaryota; Metazoa; Chordata; Mammalia; Rodentia; Muridae. The record is from Rfam by way of RNAcentral.
GGGGAUUUAGCUCAGUGGUAGAGCGCUUGCCUAGCAAGCACAAAGCCCUGGGUUCGAUCCCCAGCUCCA